ACUCGUGUUUUUUUUUUUUUUGAACAAUGGACAUGUGUACUCGUGUUUGUAUGCCAUCCUUCAUCCUUAUCCGCUUCACAAAAAAAACUCUAAAAACACCCUGACACACCGUCUCGAUCGGGUUCGUCAGCCAGUGGGAAGGAACCCUUGCCCCUCUCUCUCUCUCGUUCCCACCCCAAAUGGAUCAGGGUAUCGCCGGAGAAGAGAUGCACGAUCCGGCGAGCGGCGCCAGUGAUGGUGAAGGGGCGUGGACGGGACAGAAGAGGCCCAAGCACCAAUGCCCAUCUCCCACCAGGGAUUCCGGCGAGAUUGCCGGUGCCCGUACUAGCUCAUCAUCCUCUGACGUUCAUGCCGUCCCGGAUCACCAAGAACCUUCCACCGAGAUCGCGCGUGCCAUUGGCAUGGACACGGUCACGGUCGCGUCACGGGAUGAGCUGGAGGAAAAUGACAUUAUCAGCGAUGAGGAGUUCCUUGGAUACCUCAAGGUUUUGGCCACCAGGCCUGCUCCUAUCACCAUCUCUGUGGGCAGUCUGGACAAUGAUGAACAACGCAAGCUCUAUGAGCGCCUCGCUCUCUACCGUGUCAGGGCUUCCAAGUUGGCCCGAGGAGUUUGCGUAGAUGAUCUGGACGAGGUGACACUGACAAAGGAGUACUCUCCAGAAAUCUGAAGGCCUUGCUUGCUGACUAUGAGAAAGAUGACGCUGUCGAUUGGUACUUUGACCGUAACUACUCCUCGCUCGCUGACUUGGGCGACUACCAUCGCCUUGUCCUUAAAGAUGACGGUAUAAGGUACUUCGAUUGGGUGACAUACCGCUCAUCAUUUACUAGCUAUGAAAUUGAUGAAGAAUAUGUAAAGCUCAGUGAAGAAAUAUCAAAGAAAAUCAAGUGGGUUAAACGUUACAUGGAGUGUGAACUAACAUCUUGCGAGUGGAUGGAGAUGAACAAUAAAGGAUUCCGCCAAGCAGUGAGGAUUGCGGCAGGAUUUCCGCGCAUGAGCUAUUUUUUUGUUCUAAUGGCCUUUAAGGAGCACGUGUCGGAUGUGAUGUUUGAUUAUUGGAGCCGUGAAGACAUUGAUCGUCUCUUUUUUGAGAUGUGGAAGUGUAUGACUUAGCAAAAGAUUGAUUCCACAUCUGCUUUGGUCGAAGUCAAUCGACAGGAUAUGUUCCCUCGAUAUCGAAGAAAAAUCCAGUUUGCACUGGAUCGUAGUGACAUUUCUGAUCUGUUUUUAGAGUUUGAUACCUGCGUGGAAGGCAUCCCUGAUGACGCAGCCCAGGAUGGAGCACGUGAGCUGAUUACAUGGGCGGUUUGGAAUAAGCUUAAUAAACCGAAGAUGUGGCACCAGUAUAUUAUAAGGAAGAUGGAGAUUGCUAAACACAUAGGCUUGUAUCCACAAGCUUGACGUGUCUCGAAACCUAGGACACGGAUGGGUUUGACUAAUAACAGUGUAUUAUCCCUACAAGACAUGCAAGUAUUAUCCUGCAGGUCCUGCACGGAUUAUCCUGCAGGGCCAAGCAAUGCACGAUUCGGACUACAAGUAUGACCGAAGAGCACAGCGCUACCGACGAUCAGCUAUGUCCUUUCAAUUGACAUUGCCGGUGUGGAUGUGCAGCGUGGGCCGAUGCUAGGGAUCUUUUUGAGAAACGUUGAUAUAAGACGUCAGGUUACAUGGCAUUGCGUGUCUCCGCAUGGAGAGGAGAGCGCGUGAAGUUUUUUCCUUCCACCUUGUGAAGAGUUCAGGAACAAGUCAUCUUGGUGUGGCCUUCUCUAAGAGAUAAGGUGUCUGUAAUUAAUACUGUAUUUCUGUUUAGACAAGGGCAGGCGAUAGAAUUUACAGUAACAUAUGAUCCGAAUCAUCCGAUUUGUAUUCUGUUCUUUUCCUAUUGGUCUAGAUGGACAAAGAUCA
This is a non-coding RNA of Lolium perenne, 1903 nucleotides long. NCBI's taxonomy places the organism in Eukaryota, Viridiplantae, Streptophyta, Magnoliopsida, Poales, Poaceae. The record is from RefSeq and is a predicted model, not a curated record.